Molecule: ribosomal RNA, 423 nt
Filed under: uncultured prokaryote
Description: bacterial SSU rRNA
Rfam family: Bacterial small subunit ribosomal RNA
Source: RNAcentral
UGGGGAAUCUUGGACAAUGGGGGCAACCCUGAUCCAGCGACGCCGCGUGGGUGGUAAGGCCUUCGGGUUGUAAAGCCCUUUCACCGGGGAAGAUGAUGACAUUACCCGGAGAAGAAGCGCCGGCUAACUCCGUGCCAGCAGCCGCGGUAAGACGGAGGAUGCAAGCGUUAUCCGGAAUUAUUGGGCGUAAAGCGUCCGUAGGCGGUUCAUCAAGUCAGUUGUUAAAGACUGCAGCUCAACUGUGGGCGAGCAACUGAAACUGAUGAACUAGAGUGCGGUAGGGGUAGAGGGAAUUCCCAGUGUAGCGGUGAAAUGCGUAGAUAUUGGGAAGAACACCAGUGGCGAAGGCGCUCUACUGGGCCGCAACUGACGCUGAGGGACGAAAGCUAGGGGAGCGAAAGGGAUUAGAUACCCGUGUAGUCC